This 400-nucleotide ribosomal RNA is filed under the name phytoplankton environmental sample. RNAcentral describes it as "partial small subunit ribosomal RNA". It matches the Rfam family "Eukaryotic small subunit ribosomal RNA", at positions 587 to 950 of the family's 1831-position model. The record is from RNAcentral.
AGCUCCAUUAGCGUAUACUAAAGUUGCUGCGGUUAAAAAGCUCGUAGUUGGAUUUUGGACCGUCGCUAGCGACUUGGCCUGCCGGAAUGGUGUGUGCCGUUGUUGCGCGGUCUUUCUGUCCCUGGGUGUUGGGCGGCGAUUGAUUUCGCGACUUGCCCGUUGGCACUUGGGACCGUUUACUUUGAAUAAAGAGGAGCGUUCAAAGCAGAGUAAGGCAAAUGAAAAUUUUGUUUAAAUGGCUCGUUGAACAUUCUAGCAUGGGAUAAUGGAAAAGGACCUCUCGUCUUGUUUUGUUGGUUGUCACACAAGAGGUAAUGAUUAAGAGGGACAGUUGGGGAUCUUCGUAUUCAGUUGUCAGCGGUGAAAUGCUUGGAUUAUCGGAAGACGAACUUCUGCGAAA